RNAcentral lists this ribosomal RNA (459 nucleotides) under uncultured bacterium. RNAcentral describes it as "partial 16S ribosomal RNA". It matches the Rfam family "Bacterial small subunit ribosomal RNA", at positions 28 to 523 of the family's 1533-position model. The record is from RNAcentral.
GAUGAACGCUGGCGGCGUGCCUAAUACAUGCAAGUCGAACGGAAAGGCCUCUUCGGAGGUACUCGAGUGGCGGACGGCUGAGUAACGCGUAGGAACGUACCCCAAACUGAGGGAUAACUGCUCGAAAGAGUAGCUAAUACCGCAUGUGCUCUACGGAGUAAAGCUUCGGCGGUUUGGGAACGGCCUACGUAUGAUUAGCUAGUUGGUGAGGUAAUGGCUCACCAAGGCGACGAUCAUUAGCUGGUCUGAGAGGAUGAUCAGCCAGACUGGGACUGAGACACGGCCCAGACUCCUACGGGAGGCAGCAGUAGGGAAUUUUCCACAAUGGGGGCAACCCUGAUGGAGCAACGCCGCGUGCAGGAUGAAGGCUUUCGGGUCGUAAACUGCUUUUAUAUGUGACGAUUUUGACGGUAGCAUAUGAAUAAGGGUCGGCUAACUCCGUGCCAGCCGCCGCGGUAA